UACGGAGGGGGCUAGCGUUGUUCGGAAUUACUGGGCGUAAAGGGCGCGUAGGCGGUCUUGCAAGUCCCGUGUGAAAUCCCUCGGCUCAACUGGGGAACUGCACGGGAAACUGCUUGACUUGAGUUCGGGAGAGGGAAGCGGAAUUCCGGGUGUAGCGGUGAAAUGCGUAGAUAUCCGGAGGAACACCGGUGGCGAAGGCGGCUUCCUGGACCGAUACUGACGCUGAGGCGCGAAAGCUAGGGGAGCAAACGGG
RNAcentral lists this ribosomal RNA (253 nucleotides) under uncultured bacterium. RNAcentral's name for it is "partial 16S ribosomal RNA". It matches the Rfam family "Bacterial small subunit ribosomal RNA", at positions 524 to 776 of the family's 1533-position model. The record is from RNAcentral.